Molecule: ribosomal RNA, 496 nt
Filed under: uncultured crenarchaeote
Lineage: Archaea; Thermoproteati; Thermoproteota
Also listed under: 1 other name
Description: bacterial SSU rRNA
Rfam family: Archaeal small subunit ribosomal RNA
Source: RNAcentral
UGUGAUNGGGGACCCAAGUGCUCAGUGUACAGUGNGGGCUGUUGCAUGUGUAAAUAGCUUGGGAAAUAAGGGGUGGGGCAGACUGGUGCCCGCCGCCGCGGUAACACCCGCGCCCCCAGUGGGAAUCCACUUUAUUGGGCCUAAAGCGUCCGUAACCGGGUUGGUAAAUUUUUUGUGAAAUUGUUUGGCUCAACCUGUUAGGCUGCCGGGGACACUGGUAAUCUUGGGACCGGGAGGGGUUAAAAGUAUUCUGGGGGGAGCGGUAAAAAUCUAUAAUCCCCUGAGGACCACCUGUGGCGAAGGGUCUGACUAGAACGGAUCUGACGGUGAGGGACGAAAGCUAUGGGAGCAAACCGGAUUAUAUACCCCGGGUUCCUAGCAGUAAACGUUGCCUUGCUAGGUGACUGGAAUGGUGGAACCAUUUCAGGUGCCGCUUGGAAACCGAGAAUCUGCCUCCGGGGGAAUCCCGGCCCCACGGAGAAAACUUAAAGAUUUG